Molecule: long non-coding RNA, 723 nt
Filed under: Marmota monax (woodchuck)
Lineage: Eukaryota; Metazoa; Chordata; Mammalia; Rodentia; Sciuridae
Source: RNAcentral
UGUCCUUGUAUUUCCCCAAAAAAUAAAUUUCCCGGGUCCCUACUUAUUUUAGGCAGGUUCUUUCAUGUGACAGGUUCCCUGAGGGCUGUUAGCAGAUGCUCCUUCUUUGCAAAAGGCAGGAAGAGCCACCCCCAGACUAGAGAAGGUGGGCUUCUAUGGGUCCUGCUCCAGGGGGCCCCCGACCCAACCACCACCCAGGCCCUGGCAGUAGAUCAAGAACUGGUCCAAGAGGAGACCCUGGCACUAGCUGAAGAAAACAGGCGAGGGACCUCCCAGGAAGGCAGCUGGUUGAACCUCUGUCAGUUAAUGGAACACACUCUUAUCCUUAGACAAAGCAAAAUCACAUAAUCAACACAGAAGUGGACAACCUUCAGGAUCAAAAGAUUCAGUGGGAGCCUUGGAAUGUAGCUCAGUGGUAGAGUGUCUAGCAUGUGUGAGGUCCUGGGCUCAGUCCCCAGCUCCACAAAGCAAAACAAAACAAACGUUCAGUGCACUAGGAAUCGGGAAAACUUCCUCGGCUCGAUAAAAUGGCAUCUAUGAGAAAACCAGAAUUCAGAUUGGUACAUUAGUGAAUGGGUUCCUCCAAGACCAGGAAUGAGAAUGUCCAUUCUUGCCUCUUCUAGUCAAUAUUGUACAGGAGAUUCUCAUUAGGAAACUGCAUGAGAAAAAUGAAGUAAAAACCAUAUGCAUUAGAAAGUAAGAAGUAAAAAAUGACCUGUUUGC